This 777-nucleotide ribosomal RNA is filed under the name uncultured Desulfobacterales bacterium. RNAcentral's name for it is "bacterial SSU rRNA". It matches the Rfam family "Bacterial small subunit ribosomal RNA", at positions 57 to 805 of the family's 1533-position model. The record is from RNAcentral. Lineage: Bacteria; Pseudomonadati; Thermodesulfobacteriota; Desulfobacteria; Desulfobacterales.
GCAGUCGCACGAGAACGCUUCAGCCUUGCUGAAGCAAGUAAAGUGGCGCACGGGUGAGUUAACGCGUGGGUAAUCUACCCUCAAAUUGGGGAUAACCCCGCGAAAGCGGGGCUAAUACCGAAUAACAUCCUGAAAAUUCAUGUUUUCAGGAUCAAAGGUGGCCUCUACAUGUAAGCUAUUGUUUGGGGAUGAGCCCGCGUACCAUUAGCUUGUUGGUAGGGUAAUGGCCUACCAAGGCGACGAUGGUUAGCUGGUCUGAGAGGAUGAUCAGCCACACUGGAACUGACACACGGUCCAGACUCCUACGGGAGGCAGCAGUGAGGAAUUUUGCGCAAUGGGGGAAACCCUGACGCAGCAACGCCGCGUGAGUGAUGAAGGCUUUCGGGUCGUAAAGCUCUGUCAAGUGGGAAGAACCCAUAUGGUGUUAAUAUCGCCAUAUGCUGACGGUACCACUGAAGGAAGCACCGGCUAACUCCGUGCCAGCAGCCGCGGUAAUACGGGGGGUGCGAGCGUUAUUCGGAAUUACUGGGCGUAAAGAGCGCGUAGGCGGUCUUUUAAGUCAGGUGUGAAAGCCCGGGGCUCAACCCCGGAAGUGCACUUGAAACUAAGAGACUUGAGUAUGGGAGAGGGAAGUGGAAUUCCUGGUGUAGCGGUGAAAUGCGUAGAUAUCAGGAGGAACAUCAGUGGCGAAGGCGACUUCCUGGACCAAUACUGACGCUGAGGCGCGAAGGCGUGGGGAGCAAACAGGAUUAGAUACCCUGGUAGUCCACGCAGUAA